RNAcentral lists this ribosomal RNA (1222 nucleotides) under Bacillus licheniformis. Its description in RNAcentral is "bacterial SSU rRNA". It matches the Rfam family "Bacterial small subunit ribosomal RNA", at positions 97 to 1304 of the family's 1533-position model. The record is from RNAcentral. Lineage: Bacteria; Bacillati; Bacillota; Bacilli; Caryophanales; Bacillaceae.
GGCGGACGGGUGAGUAACACGUGGGUAACCUGCCUGUAAGACUGGGAUAACUCCGGGAAACCGGGGCUAAUACCGGAUGCUUGAUUGAACCGCAUGGUUCAAUCAUAAAAGGUGGCUUUUAGCUACCACUUACAGAUGGACCCGCGGCGCAUUAGCUAGUUGGUGAGGUAACGGCUCACCAAGGCGACGAUGCGUAGCCGACCUGAGAGGGUGAUCGGCCACACUGGGACUGAGACACGGCCCAGACUCCUACGGGAGGCAGCAGUAGGGAAUCUUCCGCAAUGGACGAAAGUCUGACGGAGCAACGCCGCGUGAGUGAUGAAGGUUUUCGGAUCGUAAAACUCUGUUGUUAGGGAAGAACAAGUACCGUUCGAAUAGGGCGGUACCUUGACGGUACCUAACCAGAAAGCCACGGCUAACUACGUGCCAGCAGCCGCGGUAAUACGUAGGUGGCAAGCGUUGUCCGGAAUUAUUGGGCGUAAAGCGCGCGCAGGCGGUUUCUUAAGUCUGAUGUGAAAGCCCCCGGCUCAACCGGGGAGGGUCAUUGGAAACUGGGGAACUUGAGUGCAGAAGAGGAGAGUGGAAUUCCACGUGUAGCGGUGAAAUGCGUAGAGAUGUGGAGGAACACCAGUGGCGAAGGCGACUCUCUGGUCUGUAACUGACGCUGAGGCGCGAAAGCGUGGGGAGCGAACAGGAUUAGAUACCCUGGUAGUCCACGCCGUAAACGAUGAGUGCUAAGUGUUAGAGGGUUUCCGCCCUUUAGUGCUGCAGCAAACGCAUUAAGCACUCCGCCUGGGGAGUACGGUCGCAAGACUGAAACUCAAAGGAAUUGACGGGGGCCCGCACAAGCGGUGGAGCAUGUGGUUUAAUUCGAAGCAACGCGAAGAACCUUACCAGGUCUUGACAUCCUCUGACAACCCUAGAGAUAGGGCUUCCCCUUCGGGGGCAGAGUGACAGGUGGUGCAUGGUUGUCGUCAGCUCGUGUCGUGAGAUGUUGGGUUAAGUCCCGCAACGAGCGCAACCCUUGAUCUUAGUUGCCAGCAUUCAGUUGGGCACUCUAAGGUGACUGCCGGUGACAAACCGGAGGAAGGUGGGGAUGACGUCAAAUCAUCAUGCCCCUUAUGACCUGGGCUACACACGUGCUACAAUGGGCAGAACAAAGGGCAGCGAAGCCGCGAGGCUAAGCCAAUCCCACAAAUCUGUUCUCAGUUCGGAUCGCAGU